UACGGGGGGGGCAAGCGUUGUUCGGAUUCAUUGGGCGUAAAGGGUGUGUAGGUGGCGCCGUAAGUCGGGUGUGAAAUUUCGGAGCUUAACUCCGAAACUGCAUUCGAUACUGCGGUGCUUGAGGACUGGAGAGGAGACUGGAAUUCAUGGUGUAGCAGUGAAAUGCGUAGAGAUCAUGAGGAAGACCAGUGGCGAAGGCGGGUCUCUGGACAGUUCCUGACGCUGAGGCACGAAGGCCAGGGGAGCAAACGGG
Molecule: ribosomal RNA, 253 nt
Filed under: uncultured bacterium
Lineage: Bacteria
Description: partial 16S ribosomal RNA
Rfam family: Bacterial small subunit ribosomal RNA
Source: RNAcentral